GACGAACGCUGGCGGCGUGCUUAACACAUGCAAGUCGAACGGAAAGGCCCUGCUUUUGUGGGGUGCUCGGGUGGCGAACGGGUGAGUAACACGUGAGUAACCUGCCCUUGACUUUGGGAUAACUUCAGGAAACUGGGGCUAAUACCGGAUAGGAGCUCCUGCUGCAUGGUGGGGGUUGGAAAGUUUCGGCGGUUGGGGAUGGACUCGCGGCUUAUCAGCUUGUUGGUGGGGUAGUGGCUUACCAAGGCUUUGACGGGUAGCCGGCCUGGGAGGGUGACCGGCCACAUUGGGACUGAGAUACGGCCCAGACUCCUACGGGAGGCAGCAGUGGGGAAUAUUGCACAAUGGGCGGAAGCCUGAUGCAGCAACGCCGCGUGCGGGAUGACGGCCUUCGGGUUGUAAACCGCUUUCGCCUGUGACGAAGCGUGAGUGACGGUAAUGGGUAAAGAAGCACCGGCUAACUACGUG
RNAcentral lists this ribosomal RNA (468 nucleotides) under uncultured bacterium. RNAcentral's name for it is "partial 16S ribosomal RNA". It matches the Rfam family "Bacterial small subunit ribosomal RNA", at positions 28 to 507 of the family's 1533-position model. The record is from RNAcentral.